CUCAUUUGUGGUAACUCCAUUAAUUUGAAAUUACCUCAUCCAUCUUCAGCCAUUUGUCUAUAUAAAGAUUAAUCUUUUAAUUGGAUGGUUUAAGACUUGCUCAAAGCUCAUCUGGAUUUCUGUGUCUAAUUUUGUUAAUGGAAAAGUUGUGACGACGUACGAAUUGAAAUGAAGCUUCAAAGCGUUGCAGUAAUACUUGUGAUCGCAACAAUAUGUUUGAUUGACGAUCCGAAAGCUUUAGGAGUGAAUUUAGAAGAGGAGACGAAGCAUGGGAAUCUCCAACCUCAAGAAAAUGACUAUGAAAGGGCUCCAUCAUUAUCUUCUACCAAUUCUCACCAUGAGAUUCCAUUGUUUAAGUUUAUCCCUCCACGAAACAGAAAAUAACUAAAUAUCGAGGCCAUGCAAGAUUUGGGUGUAUAACUACGUACUACUCCAUAUAAAAUAAACUAUAUAUGUGUGAUCUUUAGUCUUGUGGUUACAUUUUAUGUAGUAUGCACGUAAGAGAAAAUCAUGGGUUCAAUUGUCACUGGGGUUCAAGGGUGGGGUGGGGCUUUGUGUACACCGGAGAUAUGGGGAUCCAACCCAGACGUGACUUAUGUACGUACUUGUUGGACAAGUCAAUAAUAUCUAUCAUGUUUUAAAUUUAUUCAAGCAUGUUCUAAAUUUAUUCAACAAUGUUCUAAAUUUAGAACAUGAGAACCUAGUCAACACUAAGCCUGGUUAUUGGACAUGAGAAUUCUUAGGUUUAGGGCCUUAGCUCCUCCAUAUAAUGGAAUAAGUAUUGCUAAUGAAUAAUUAAGUAUGUUUCUUAAUCAAUGGAAGUUGGAUGAUAAAAUUCUUUCCAUCACGGUUGAUAAUGCUACUUAUAAUGAAGUGAUCGAUGGUGUCCACCUUGAAGAAACGUCUAGUUCCUAAAGGAGGGUUACUUGAUGGUGAGACUUUGUUUCAUGUACGUUGUUGUGUGCACAUAUUAUUAAUCUUAUUGUGCAAAAAGGAUUGUCUGCAUUAGUGAAAUAUUGGACAAAAUUCGUGCAUUGACAAAGAUGGUCACCAAAUCUUCUCAUAGGGGUGAUGAGGUCUAUGAUUGUGCGGAGAAGAUUUUCACUUAGAUGGAAAAAGGAAAUUGAACCUUGAUAUGCAAGUACGUUGGAAUUCCACUUAUAAAAUGCUUGGCACUACCCUUUAUUUUAAAGAAGUUUUUCUUCAUUAGAGUUCGGAUCAUGCACCAUUUAAGGCAUAUACUCCAUCAGAGGAUGAGUGGGAGAAAGUUAGUGUGAUUCACAACUUUUUGGAGUUAUUUUACGAAGUUACUUGUAUGUUUUCGGGCGUGAAAUAUCCUACUGCUAACUUGUAUUUCAAAGGUGCACGGAUAGUGCAUCGUCAUUUGUUUGAGGCGGGAAAUGGUCCUCACAUGUUUUUAAAGGAUAUGGUUCAACCAAUGCUUAUAAAAUUUGACAAGUAUUGGUCCGAAUACAACUUGCACUUGUCUUGCGCAGCCAUUCUUGAUCCAAGGUAUAAGGUCAAAUUUGUUGAAUAUUGUUUUAGUAAGUUAUUUGGUAGUGACGAGCCUUUAAGAUGAUUAAAUUUGGUGUUAGCGACUAUGAACUCCUUGUUUAUGGAUUACAAAUUACAAUAUGCUAGUAGUUCACCUACAAUAGUCUAUCCUUCUCCUGCUACUACUUUAGGAAGUAAGAACCACUUUGAUGAUUAUGACCAUUUUGUCGGCACUAGUACAAGGUCUAAAGUAGGAAAGUCACAACUUGAGAUGUACUUAGAUGAGAUGCUCUUGAUCUCAACUCGGAAUUGGAUGUUCUAGAGUUUUGGCAUCAAAGUUCUGAGAGAUAUCUUGUGGUUUCAAAGAUGGCACGAGAUUUGUUAACUAUUCCUAUGUACCGUAGCUUCGGAGUCCGCCUUUAGUUUUGGUUGAAAGACCGUUUUGGCAUCUCGUAGUGCCUUAAAGUCCAAAACAAUUGAAGCUUUGAUUUGUUUGCAAGAUUGGCAUCGUGGAGAUUCUGUUGAAGAUCAAGAGCAGUUUGAUCUUGAGUUUGAUGACGAGAUAGUUAGAGAAGAUGAAGAAGAAGAAGAUGAUGAUUAUGAUGAUGAUGAUGUAAACCCCUUUUUUUAGGGUUCCUUGAAGGGGCUGAUGUUGAUGCACUUGAGGGUGCUGCAGUUCGGAUGGCUGGUUAUGUACUUCUGAUCAGCAUCAAUUGGCAUAUGAAAUAGGAUUCUGCGCGUAUGAUUGAAGCAAUUACUGUAUAGUUGUUGAUUUGAUCUCUAUUUGUACUGAUUUAGUGAAUUUAAAUCUAUCUGGUUCAGCUACUAGGUGGACAUGCUCAUGUUAUGGAAUUGUUGGGUUUAAGAAAUU
Molecule: long non-coding RNA, 2365 nt
Organism: Spinacia oleracea (spinach)
Lineage: Eukaryota; Viridiplantae; Streptophyta; Magnoliopsida; Caryophyllales; Amaranthaceae
Exons: 3
Source: RefSeq, a predicted model, not a curated record